This 505-nucleotide ribosomal RNA is filed under the name uncultured bacterium. RNAcentral describes it as "bacterial SSU rRNA". It matches the Rfam family "Bacterial small subunit ribosomal RNA", at positions 28 to 518 of the family's 1533-position model. The record is from RNAcentral.
GAUGAACGCUAGCGGCAGGCCUAACACAUGCAAGUCGAGGGGCAUCAUGGCGUAGCAAUACGCUGAUGGCGACCGGCGCACGGGUGCGUAACGCGUAUGGAACCUACCCACCGCAGGGGGAUAACCCGCCGAAAGGCGGACUAAUACCCCAUGGUUCCCCGACCCUGCCUGGGGUUGGGGGUAAAGCCUACGGGCGGCGGUGGAUGGCCCUGCGUGCCAUUAGCUGGCUGGUGGGGUAACGGCCCACCAGGGCGACGAUGGCUAGGGGGUCUGAGAGGACGAUCCCCCACACUGGUACUGAGACACGGACCAGACUCCUACGGGAGGCAGCAGUGAGGAAUCUUCCGCAAUGGGCGAAAGCCUGACGGAGCAACGCCGCGUGAGUGAAGAAGGCCUUCGGGUCGUAAAGCUCUGUCUUCAGGAAGAACAACAUAUAUGUGAAUAAUGUAUAUGCCUGACGGUACCUGAGGAGGAAGCUCCGGCUAACUACGUGCCAGCAGCCGAC